Molecule: small RNA, 112 nt
Filed under: Arabidopsis thaliana (thale cress)
Lineage: Eukaryota; Viridiplantae; Streptophyta; Magnoliopsida; Brassicales; Brassicaceae
Description: ATSL144890
Source: RNAcentral
AAACUUUGAGACAUUGUUUAAGCCAGAUCAAACUUGUUAUAUAUUCCCUCUGUUCCUAAAAUAACGAUGUUUUGAAUUUUUCACACAAAUUAAGAAAAGUAAUUUUAAUAUU